UUAUAUUAUAUACAUAUAUGAAUACAUAUAUACAAAAAGAUGGUGCAAGCAACAGAAUAACAAUUUUUGACAAAAAAUUGGACGGGAAGGGUUUCACCGGUGGAAUUUAAGGAAUUUCAUUAGCGGCUGUGAUGAUUCCGGAAAGAUCUGGAUGGUUGGUGGACUGACGGCGAGGGAGAGGGAGAAAGGAGAGAGGGAUGGCGCCAGCUGGUGGCUGUGUACCGCCGGCCAUGGCUUCGCCAUUAAUGGCGUCGCCGUCGACGAAAAUAGAGGACAGUGGCUGAUUCGGAGAUUUCCGGCAAGUUUUCGGUGUGGACUCGCCGGAAAAAUUCAAGAAAAUUAAAUAUUUUUCGUUCAUUCUUAUACUUACUGAUUUUUCUAUUCAAUUCUAGUCUAUUUUUAACUGAUUUUUCCUUCUUUUUUGGUGCAUCAGUGUAUGUAUCUGUUUAAGAAUAAACAUAUACUUGUGUACAUACAUAACCUGAUAUGUAUUGUCGUGUAUGGAGUACAUAAAUUUUAGUCAAUACGAAGAUGGAAGUCAGUCUGUGAAUAAAAUGUGAAUGU
Molecule: long non-coding RNA, 564 nt
Filed under: Capsicum annuum
Lineage: Eukaryota; Viridiplantae; Streptophyta; Magnoliopsida; Solanales; Solanaceae
Description: long non-coding RNA (CANN_LNC015367)
Source: RNAcentral